GAUGAACGCUGGCGGCGUGCCUAAUACAUGCAAGUCGAGCGAACAGACGAGGAGCUUGCUCCUCUGACGUUAGCGGCGGACGGGUGAGUAACACGUGGAUAACCUACCUAUAAGACUGGGAUAACUUCGGGAAACCGGAGCUAAUACCGGAUAAUAUAUUGAACCGCAUGGUUCAAUAGUGAAAGACGGUUUUGCUGUCACUUAUAGAUGGAUCCGCGCCGCAUUAGCGAGUUGGUAAGGUAACGGCUUACCAAGGCAACGAUGCGUAGCCGACCUGAGAGGGUGAUCGGCCACACUGGAACUGAGACACGGUCCAGACUCCUACGGGAGGCAGCAGUAGGGAAUCUUCCGCAAUGGGCGAAAGCCUGCCGGAGCAACGCCGCGUGAGUGAUGAAGGUCUUCGGAUCGUAAAACUCUGUUAUUAGGGAAGAACAAAUGUGUAAGUAACUAUGCACGUCUUGACGGUACCUAAUCAGAAAGCCACGGCUAACUACGUG
RNAcentral lists this ribosomal RNA (497 nucleotides) under uncultured bacterium. Its description in RNAcentral is "partial 16S ribosomal RNA". It matches the Rfam family "Bacterial small subunit ribosomal RNA", at positions 28 to 507 of the family's 1533-position model. The record is from RNAcentral.